AUACCAUGGAGACCAGAAACCAUUUAAACGGGGCGUAUCCUGAAAAGCCAUAUGAGUAAGGCUCUAA
Chryseobacterium takakiae is the source of this 67-nucleotide non-coding RNA. NCBI's taxonomy places the organism in Bacteria, Pseudomonadati, Bacteroidota, Flavobacteriia, Flavobacteriales, Weeksellaceae. The record is from Rfam.